This 73-nucleotide transfer RNA is filed under the name Phakopsora pachyrhizi. RNAcentral describes it as "tRNA-Pro". It matches the Rfam family "tRNA". From Rfam's summary of the family: Transfer RNA (tRNA) molecules are approximately 80 nucleotides in length. Their secondary structure includes four short double-helical elements and three loops (D, anti-codon, and T loops). Further hydrogen bonds mediate the characteristic L-shaped molecular structure. tRNAs have two regions of fundamental functional importance: the anti-codon, which is responsible for specific mRNA codon recognition, and the 3' end, to which the tRNAs corresponding amino acid is attached (by aminoacyl-tRNA synthetases). tRNAs cope with the degeneracy of the genetic code in two manners: having more than one tRNA (with a specific anti-codon) for a particular amino acid; and 'wobble' base-pairing, i.e. permitting non-standard base-pairing at the 3rd anti-codon position. Lineage: Eukaryota; Fungi; Basidiomycota; Pucciniomycetes; Pucciniales; Phakopsoraceae. The record is from RNAcentral.
GUGCACUUAGCUUAGUGGUUAGAGCUUCACUGUGGGAUGAUGAGGUAUCAAGGUUCAUAUCCUGGAGUACACA